AUAUUGUGAUAAAAGUCAUCUCAUAAGAAUCUAUUGUAUUUAAUUAUUGGUGGAAGAUUUUCUUCGACAUUUCCACCGGCUGCUGGUUCAGUUCAGAAAUAUGCAACAAAGGACAAAUACUCUGCAGCAAGGGGACGCAUCUCGCAAGAAGCCGCAAGUCUCUCAUCAAUUUUCAUUCAAUUGCUUCAAGUUUUGUCAACGCCACAAACGAAGAAUAAUAUUUACGAAGCUGAAAGCCACAUGUUUUUGAUGAAGCAGCCAUUGGCAAUGAACUUUUAACAUGCAAUUGGCAUAGAAGAAAGCGAUCCGUUUUCAAACUGUGAAUUUGUUAGUUUAUGGAAAGUAUUGGUGGUUUUCAUAUGCGUC
Long non-coding RNA from Xenia sp. Carnegie-2017, 366 nucleotides. RefSeq lists it as uncharacterized. The transcript has 3 exons. The record is from RefSeq and is a predicted model, not a curated record. NCBI's taxonomy places the organism in Eukaryota, Metazoa, Cnidaria, Anthozoa, Malacalcyonacea, Xeniidae.